GUAGGGAAUAUUGGGCAAUGGUCGGAAGACUGACCCAGCCAUGCCGCGUGCAGGAAGACGGCCCUCUGGGUUGUAAACUGCUUUUAUCUGGGAAGAAAAAGGCCAUGCGUGGCAAAUUGCCGGUACCAGAUGAAUAAGCACCGGCUAACUCCGUGCCAGCAGCCGCGGUAAUACGGAGGGUGCGAGCGUUGUCCGGAUUUAUUGGGUUUAAAGGGUGCGUAGGCGGCUGAUUAAGUCAGCGGUGAAAGACUUCGGCUUAACCGGAGCAGUGCCGUUGGUACUGGUUGGCUUGAGUGUCGGAGGGGUACAUGGAAUUGAUGGUGUAGCGGUGAAAUGCAUAGAUACCAUCAGGAACACCGAUAGCGAAGGCAUUGUACUGGCCGACAACUGACGCUGAUGCACGAAAGUGUGGGGAUCGAACAGGAUUAGAUACCCGUGUAGUCC
Molecule: ribosomal RNA, 444 nt
Filed under: uncultured bacterium
Lineage: Bacteria
Description: partial 16S ribosomal RNA
Rfam family: Bacterial small subunit ribosomal RNA
Source: RNAcentral